GUCUGAGAGAUCGUGGAUCGAGGUGAUGUCGACCUUCAGAAGAUCGAUGGAAAGGAGAACCUGGCCGACCCCUUCACUAAAGCCCUGGCGAUAAAGGAGUUCGACAACCACAAGUCAAAGAUGGGUAUUAGAUACUGUACCGAGUGGCUUUAGGACAAGUGGGAGUUGUUGGAAAAUGUGUCCCAAAAAGCCAAUCGUCAAGCUAUUGACGGUUGAGCAACCAAGUAUUGUAAUUG
This 236-nucleotide long non-coding RNA is filed under the name Elaeis guineensis (African oil palm). RNAcentral's name for it is "long non-coding RNA (EGUI_LNC078308)". Lineage: Eukaryota; Viridiplantae; Streptophyta; Magnoliopsida; Arecales; Arecaceae. The record is from RNAcentral.